RNAcentral lists this non-coding RNA (23 nucleotides) under Arabidopsis thaliana (thale cress). Lineage: Eukaryota; Viridiplantae; Streptophyta; Magnoliopsida; Brassicales; Brassicaceae. The record is from RNAcentral.
GCCUUUCCAUGGUGAUCGUCAAG